RNAcentral lists this ribosomal RNA (487 nucleotides) under uncultured bacterium. Its description in RNAcentral is "partial 16S ribosomal RNA". It matches the Rfam family "Bacterial small subunit ribosomal RNA", at positions 30 to 506 of the family's 1533-position model. The record is from RNAcentral.
AUUGAACGCUGGCGGCAGGCCUAACACAUGCAAGUCGAACGGUAGCACAGAGAGCUUGCUCUCGGGUGACGAGUGGCGGACGGGUGAGUAAUGUCUGGGAAACUGCCUGAUGGAGGGGGAUAACUACUGGAAACGGUAGCUAAUACCGCAUAACGUCGCAAGACCAAAGAGGGGGACCUUCGGGCCUCUUGCCAUCAGAUGUGCCCAGAUGGGAUUAGCUAGUAGGUGGGGUAACGGCUCACCUAGGCGACGAUCCCUAGCUGGUCUGAGAGGAUGACCAGCCACACUGGAACUGAGACACGGUCCAGACUCCUACGGGAGGCAGCAGUGGGGAAUAUUGCACAAUGGGCGCAAGCCUGAUGCAGCCAUGCCGCGUGUAUGAAGAAGGCCUUCGGGUUGUAAAGUACUUUCAGCGGGGAGGAAGGCGAUAAGGUUAAUAACCUUGUCGAUGGACGUUACCCGCAGAAGAAGCACCGGCUAACUCCGU